CCCUUAGAUGUUCUGGGCGGCCCGCGCACUACAUUGGCACUAGCAAAGAGAUCCUAGAUUGAAUUCUUUGGGGUAUUCUUCUAAAUGGUGUCGUGACUGGGAUAAAUCCUUGUAAUUAUUGGUUUUGAACGAGGAAUUCCUUGUAAUCGCGGUUUAUCAGCUCGCGUUGAAUGCGUCCCUGCCCUUUGUACACACCGCCCGCCGCUCCUACCGAUGGAUCGUCCGGUGAAGCUCACGGAGUGACUGUUCACGCAACGGUUUACGAAGUGAAAUGGACCUCACGAUUUAGAGGAAGGAGAAGUCGUAACA
This 309-nucleotide ribosomal RNA is filed under the name uncultured eukaryote. RNAcentral describes it as "partial 18S ribosomal RNA". It matches the Rfam family "Eukaryotic small subunit ribosomal RNA", at positions 1470 to 1796 of the family's 1831-position model. The record is from RNAcentral.